GGUAAGGGGAGCUAGCAUGUGAUCGCUGUUCUUACUGAUUUAUAGAAUAGGUUAUGAUUUUGAUAAAUUGAGUGAAUGCAUGUGUACUGUUUAAUUUCUAUUUUGAUGCUAAAGUUGGAAUGUUGGAACGUAAUUGUUGUACUGUUGAUUUUUGUAUGGUGUUUAUGAUUUUGAAGAAUGGGUAUGUGUGAGAUUGGAUGUAUGAAGAGGAACAAUUAUGAAUUACUAUACAAAAGUAGAAGAUGAGAAUUAGGUCCUGUUGUAUAUAUUUUAGGAAUGAUUUAGGAACUAGGAUAGCCAAAUUUUGGGUUUGAGGUUAUAGUUAGGUUUGGUCAGUUUAGGAAGUGGGUAUAAGUCAUAUAUGACUUGUAUGAAGUGUGCAUUUAGUCAAAACUGCAUUCUAAGUGCUAGAACUGAAAUUGGAUCUAUAAGUUGUUGAAACUUGAGAAAUUGAGUCUAAAAUGAUGCAUAAUUAAUAGAUUAAGAGGUUUAUAAGCAAUUAGACACCUUAGACAAGUUUAAAUCAUCAUAUACUUCGAGUUAGAAUCAUU
This 551-nucleotide long non-coding RNA is filed under the name Vigna radiata. Its description in RNAcentral is "long non-coding RNA (VRAD_LNC016974)". The record is from RNAcentral. Lineage: Eukaryota; Viridiplantae; Streptophyta; Magnoliopsida; Fabales; Fabaceae.